Molecule: ribosomal RNA, 466 nt
Filed under: uncultured bacterium
Lineage: Bacteria
Description: bacterial SSU rRNA
Rfam family: Bacterial small subunit ribosomal RNA
Source: RNAcentral
CAAGCGGUGGAUGAUGUGGAUUAAUUCGAUGCAACGCGAAAAACCUUACCUACCCUUGACAUGUACGGAAGACCGAAGAGAUUUGGUUGUGCUCGAAAGAGCACCGUAACACAGGUACUGCAUGGCUGUCGUCAGCUCGUGUCGUGAGAUGUUGGGUUAAGUCCCGCAACGAGCGCAACCCUUGUCAUUAGUUGCUACAUUUAGUUGAGCACUCUAAUGAGACUGCCGGUGACAAACCGGAGGAAGGUGGGGAUGACGUCAAGUCCUCAUGGCCCUUAUGGGUAGGGCUUCACACGUCAUACAAUGGUACAUACAGAGGGCCGCCAACCCGCGAGGGGGAGCUAAUCCCAGAAAGUGUAUCGUAGUCCGGAUCGCAGUCUGCAACUCGACUGCGUGAAGUUGGAAUCGCUAGUAAUCGCGGAUCAGCAUGUCGCGGUGAAUACGUUCCCCGGGUCUUGUACACACC